Molecule: long non-coding RNA, 839 nt
Organism: Haliotis rubra (blacklip abalone)
Lineage: Eukaryota; Metazoa; Mollusca; Gastropoda; Lepetellida; Haliotidae
Exons: 2
Source: RefSeq, a predicted model, not a curated record
CACAGACACGGUACUGUCCCACAUUGUUUUAAGAUAUUGACGGAUCGGAAGAGCAGAAUAUUGCUAUAGAGACAUGAAGUUAACGUUGGUCCUAGCUGUCACGCUCCUGUUGUGUUCCACGUCGACAGAUGGCGUUACUGUACCGGAAGAAGAGACACAGGCCGCGCGGCUGUCGGAGGUACCGAGGAGGUCCAUCAGGACAGUCCUGAUGCCAAUGCGACAUCAACUCGACACAAAACACUUCGGAAACCUUGAAAACAGACGACGUAGGACCGUGACCGCCUUCUGCCAGACGGAGGAAUGUUUCAAGUUGAUGGGGCAGUAUGAUGAAUGGCUGCGCCUUCAUGGAGGAUCUGGAUCUACUUCUGGUCGCUGGGGAAAGUAAUUCAGUACUAAAGGAUUCUUUAUCCCUUUCCUUGUGAUUGUCGUUAUAACCCCUAGAAGGUGUGUAUCAGUGAGUUAUGUCUAAUGCUGUCCUACUGCAACCCAUUGUGCUCUACCAUUGUUCCCGUGUUCCUUGUAAUUACAACCACCAAGCAGUGUAUAUCAGAGUUAUCUACUGUUUUUUCCAAAACGUUUUCUGGACAACGCACAACUGGGACCAAUGGCUGUGGCAUCCUGAUUUUCAGAACAAAGUAGUCGCAUCACCAACUGUACCUAUUAAUAGAAGAUUUUGCUGUUGAUAUGAACAGUAUACCUCUAUAGGAAACCAGUCACUGACUUUCAAACAUCUCAUAGGAAAACAGAGGUGAAAACUACACACGACACAACAUACAAAUGCCUUUGUCCAUGUUUUAUGUCAUGAAUAAUCCCAAAAGAAAAUAUAAAACCUCGCCUUA